GCCCCAGUAGCUCAGUGGUACCUCGUAUAAUAAAAUAGUUGUGCGAAGCGCAAAAGAGCGCUUGACUUGUAAUCAGGAGGUCGGGAGUUCAAAUCUCCCCUGGGGCU
RNAcentral lists this transfer RNA (107 nucleotides) under Candidatus Woesearchaeota archaeon. RNAcentral's name for it is "tRNA-Thr". It matches the Rfam family "tRNA". From Rfam's summary of the family: Transfer RNA (tRNA) molecules are approximately 80 nucleotides in length. Lineage: Archaea; Nanobdellati; Candidatus Woesearchaeota. The record is from RNAcentral.